UACGAAGGGGGCUAGCGUUGUUCGGAAUUACUGGGCGUAAAGGGCGCGUAGGCGGCCGUUUAAGUUAGGUGUGAAAGUCCUGGGCUCAACCUGGGGACAGCACUUAAUACUGGAUGGCUUGAAUUCGGGAGAGGAUAGCGGAAUUCCCAGUGUAGAGGUGAAAUUCGUAGAUAUUGGGAAGAACACCGGUGGCGAAGGCGGCUAUCUGGACCGACAUUGACGCUGAGGCGCGAAAGCGUGGGGAGCAAACAGG
RNAcentral lists this ribosomal RNA (253 nucleotides) under uncultured bacterium. RNAcentral describes it as "partial 16S ribosomal RNA". It matches the Rfam family "Bacterial small subunit ribosomal RNA", at positions 524 to 776 of the family's 1533-position model. The record is from RNAcentral.